Molecule: long non-coding RNA, 362 nt
Filed under: Brassica rapa (field mustard)
Lineage: Eukaryota; Viridiplantae; Streptophyta; Magnoliopsida; Brassicales; Brassicaceae
Description: long non-coding RNA (BRAP_LNC001110)
Source: RNAcentral
GUCGAUACAGUUACGCAAAUUAGAUGCGUAACCGUCUGGAAAUUCCACAUCGUUUGAAAUCCAAUCAAAAAACGCAUCCUUUCCCGCUGCAUCAAGUCGGUAUAUGGGAAAAGGAGCCCUACCACUCUCAUCAACAUGAAGUUCUGAACGAGCACAUAUAUCGACUAAAUCCAGUCUUGACUUCAAAUUAUCCUUUGUUUUACCUUGAACAUUAAGGAUCGUGUUCAUGAGAUUGUCAAAAAAGUUCUUCUCAAUAUGCAUGACAUCUAAAUUAUGCCUUAGUAGAUGAUCCUCCCAGUAUGGCAUAUCCCAAAAAAUACUUUUUUUUGUGCCAGUUAUGUAGGUUUCCAACACCAUCUACC